GUCAAAACCUGAUCAAGAUAGGAGACGAUUUUUUUCAGGUCAAUAUUAAAUUGUAUUGAGAGUUAAAUUUCAUCACGUGUACAAAAAUGCAUGGCAUAAUGGGGCUUUUUUGCGUGGCUAUAAUUGGCGUUAUUCCAAUUUGUGUCGCAGUUUGUCCAAAUGGUUGGCUGAGGUACGAGCAGUCGUGUUACCGUGUUGGACACACAUCUUUCAACUGUCUUGAUUCGCAGCGAUGAGCCAGUGGUGAUUGUCGGUUGAUCUCCCCUCGUCUACAUUUCCUUCGGUGCAUUGUUAACAAACGACUGAACCACAUUUAAAAUACAAUACCUAUGAUGC
Molecule: long non-coding RNA, 336 nt
Organism: Dreissena polymorpha
Lineage: Eukaryota; Metazoa; Mollusca; Bivalvia; Myida; Dreissenidae
Exons: 3
Source: RefSeq, a predicted model, not a curated record